Molecule: long non-coding RNA, 2186 nt
Organism: Tupaia belangeri chinensis (Chinese tree shrew)
Lineage: Eukaryota; Metazoa; Chordata; Mammalia; Scandentia; Tupaiidae
Exons: 3
Source: RefSeq, a predicted model, not a curated record
GGAGGCAGGCUGCGAGUCCUUCUCAGGGCUCUCCCAGGGCGAUGCCUGCCGUAAACUGUCCACGUCUGCCUUUUGUUUUCUGAAGACCUACUACGUGCCGGUCUUUGGCUGAGCACUUUCCCCCAGUCUACCCACAAGUCUCACAACGGCAAGAACUGUGGCUGUCUCAUCAAUAGCAUAAUGCCGGCACCCAGCAGAGGAAAAAGGAACUGCUGUGUGACCAGGCCCGUCCCUGGGCCCUUAGGGUAGCUCCGGACUGGUCUGAGGACUCCUGGAGAGGGUCUGCUUUGUGUCUACAGGCUGGGUCAGCCAGCUUUCCGGUCGUCACCGGGGAGCGGGAGUCCUGGUGAGCUGGAACACGAGUGUGGACCUCGCGUGCUGCCUUCGCACGCCUGCAGAGCUGUCGCUGCUCCCUGCCACAUUCCCUCUCUCCUUGGCUUGCCCUGUGCCUGCCCCAGGAGCCUGGCGUGAUCUCAGUGUGUACCUCCCCACUGCCACCUCUACGUGACUGAUGACGACGCCACGACUCCACGGGCAGACUACCGCAAGCUCACGUGGCUGGGAGAAGGUCUGAUUCGAGCCCAGGCAUUGGAACAAUGCUCCAAAUAAGGACAGGUGGGCGGACGUGGGGUCCCUGAGCAUCCGCCACCUGCUGCAGGCCCCUCCAGGCCGGGAGCCUCGCAGCCCCUCCGGAGGAAGAGCAUGCUUAGCGGCUGAGUGCGCCAUCUCCAGCUCCCCCUUGGGCUUCUCCCAGGGGCCUCGGGCACCCCGUCAAGGCAUUGGCAUCAUCAGCCUCAGUGCAGAACCACUGCUGCUGGCUGGGAGUUUCCGGUGAGAAUUCCCCCUCAGUGCCUUCUGGACCCAUCCCGAGAGGAGCGGCCCUGCGGAUGGGACUGAAGGGUCUUUAAAGGAAGUUCAAGGUUGGAGCCAUUCAGAAGCCAUUCAGAAUGUUCCCUGAUGCUUCGACCACCCAGCAGGUCCAGUUCUCAGAAUGUAUCCAGAGGAAAUCUCAUAGGAGGGGUGCCGAGAUGAGAGGACACGCAGUGGGACCACACGGGGCAGCCCAAGUGGCUGCGGGUGACCCCUGCCCAUUCUGAUGGGCUGUGUGCCCGAGGCAGACCAUUCCAGCUGUUCCAGUCUGCAAAGUCAGCGCUGGUUGUGAGGACGAUCAUUCAUCCCUGGUGUCGGGGCAGGGGCUGAAAACAACCUAAAUGCCCCACAAGAGGCGAUUGGUUCAAUGAUGGUAUGUUUAUUAGUAGACUACUGUGUGCUUUUCUUCCGGUAACUCACCAAAAAUGACCGACAGAGAGGGAAAGGAGGGACCCUGGGUACAAGUUCUCCAGGACUUUUAGAAAACACGAAGUGGCUCCUUUGGCAACAUACUUGCACGUCUCCAGGAAAGGUGGUAGUGUAGACAUUGAGGGGAUGGGCACUGUUCAAGCGUUACCAGGGCCCACCUGGAAGAGUCUGCAACAUUACCCAGCAUGCCGUUGGCACUGUUGUACACGAGGGAAGGGCAGGAUUCUCGCCAAGAGAAUGAAUGUGCGUGUUGAGCAUAUUAUUAAGCGUUCUAAGAGCGGAGAGAGCUUCCUAACACGUGCAAAGGAAAAUGACCAGGAGAAGAAGGAAGCCAGAGAGAAAGGGACCUGGGUCCAACUGACACGCCAGCCUGCUCCACCCAGAGCAGCCACUGUGUGAGAACCCAUGGGAAGGAGCCUGAGCUGCUGGAACCUAGUCCUAUGAAUUCAUGGCAUGAUGGGUGUUAAAAAUAAACAAACUCUGGUCUAUAAAAAAGUUUGCCUUAAUUGAGUAUAAUUGUGGUGUUCCCUCCCUCAAAGCAAAUUUUAAUUGGGCUCUAAUUCAUUUUGUGAUAUCUUUAUUCAAAUUUAGUGUUUUUCGAGCUGAAAGAUGUGGGGUGGCUUAUUAUGCAACAAAUAAAACACAGUUGGUUAAAAAAAUAGACUACCGUGUGGAGAAUAAAAGUUAUACCCCUGACGCGCCCGCAGGAUUAGGGGAGCAGCUGUUACCUCUCGUGAGGUGCAGAGAGUUACAGUACGGCGUGCUCCCGAGGUGAGGAAACAGUACACCGUCUUCCCAUUCUGGCACCAGGACACAGCAAGCUGAGAAACUGCACACUGGAAUAGGCCUCGUCCACGUGGCCGGGGGAGCACAGCCCCCCAGAGGGC